Molecule: RNase P RNA, 383 nt
Filed under: Magnetococcales bacterium
Lineage: Bacteria; Pseudomonadati; Pseudomonadota; Magnetococcia; Magnetococcales
Description: RNase P RNA component class A
Rfam family: Bacterial RNase P class A
About the family: Ribonuclease P (RNase P) is a ubiquitous endoribonuclease, found in archaea, bacteria and eukarya as well as chloroplasts and mitochondria. Its best characterised activity is the generation of mature 5'-ends of tRNAs by cleaving the 5'-leader elements of precursor-tRNAs.
Source: RNAcentral
GGAGUGGAACGGGUGGUCGCUGGCCGGCUGGUUGCGGCUGGAGGAAAGUCCGGGCUCCACAGGGCAGGACGCCGGGUAACCCCCGGCGGGGGUGACCCCAGGGAAAGUGCCACAGAGAGCAGACCGCCGGUCGGGAUCCAUGGAUCCACCGGCAAGGGUGAAAGGGUGCGGUAAGAGCGCACCGCGUUUCCCGGUAACGGGAACGGCAUGGUAAACCCCGUCCGGAGCAAGACCAAAUAGGGGGACAUGAUGGAUGGCCCGUCCAGUCCCCGGGUAGGUUGCUUGAGGUGACCGGAGACGGUCAUCCCAGAGGAAUGGCCACCACCCAUUCACCCUGGAACGGUGAACGGGAACAGAACCCGGCUUACAGUUCCACUCCGGUU